UACGAAGGGGGCUAGCGUUGUUCGGAAUCACUGGGCGUAAAGCGCACGCAGGCGGAUUGAUAAGUCAGGGGUGAAAUCCCGGAGCUCAACUUCGGAAUUGCCUUUGAUACUGUUAAUCUCGAGUCCGGGAGAGGUGAGUGGAAUUCCUAGUGUAGAGGUGAAAUUCGUAGAUAUUAGGAAGAACACCAGUGGCGAAGGCGGCUCACUGGCCCGGUACUGACGCUCAUGUGCGAAAGCGUGGGGAGCAAAC
This 250-nucleotide ribosomal RNA is filed under the name uncultured bacterium. RNAcentral describes it as "partial 16S ribosomal RNA". It matches the Rfam family "Bacterial small subunit ribosomal RNA", at positions 524 to 773 of the family's 1533-position model. The record is from RNAcentral.